GUGCCAGCAGCCGCGGUAAUACGUAGGGCGCAAGCGUUGUCCGGAAUUAUUGGGCGUAAAGAGCUCGUAGGCGGUUUGUCGCGUCUGCUGUGAAAACGCAAGGCUUAACCUUGCGCCUGCAGUGGGUACGGGCAGACUAGAGUGCGGUAGGGGAGACUGGAAUUCCUGGUGUAGCGGUGGAAUGCGCAGAUAUCAGGAGGAACACCGAUGGCGAAGGCAGGUCUCUGGGCCGUUACUGACGCUGAGGAGCGAAAGCAUGGGGAGCGAA
RNAcentral lists this ribosomal RNA (268 nucleotides) under uncultured Actinomycetales bacterium. RNAcentral describes it as "partial 16S ribosomal RNA". It matches the Rfam family "Bacterial small subunit ribosomal RNA", at positions 505 to 772 of the family's 1533-position model. Lineage: Bacteria; Bacillati; Actinomycetota; Actinomycetes; Actinomycetales. The record is from RNAcentral.